AGAUCUAUUCACCUAUCCAUCAGUUCCACCAUGUCUCUUGCUGCGCUCUGCCACACAAUUUGCCAUAUUCUUGUACUGUUUCGUGCUGUCGUUGUGCUGUACUACGGAAUCUAUCGUAAUGCGCAAAACCCCAGCCCCGAUCAACGCAGACUCCCAUUAACGGCGAACGAGAGUGUCGAUGAGCUGUAAAUGACGAUCGAAACGACAUAAAUGCAGACGCGCUAUAAAACCUCAGCCUCAAAAACCGCACCUUGCAGGCAAAAGGCCCCCGAAGGCACACAUAAAACCGGGGUCCCAAAGCCCGCGUAAUAGGGAUUAUGUUACACAUACGCUUGCACACAGAGGGCCCCAAAAUGUCAAAGUUACACGCGUGUGGAGUGUCUCCAUGGCGCUAUCUCCGUGACCAACUUCCCAGCGAAAAGCCACCAACCCCCAGCAGGUGAAUUUAAAAAAAAGGGAAAACUGAGCCGCUUCAACAAAACAAGUGCUGCGAUGGUUCGUUGGCUGCCCUUUUUUUCCGUACCCAAAUGCACCUUUAGCUGCCGGACAAUGGCUAAUUUAUUUCAACCUAAACGCUCUGCUCUGCUCGUAAAUUUGUUUAAUAGCGUUAAUUAAGGUGAAAUAAAAUAUUAGUUAAUUUCAGCUCUA
Molecule: long non-coding RNA, 648 nt
Organism: Anopheles arabiensis
Lineage: Eukaryota; Metazoa; Arthropoda; Insecta; Diptera; Culicidae
Exons: 2
Source: RefSeq, a predicted model, not a curated record